UCCGUAGGCGGCUUAAUAAGUCAGUGGUGAAAUCCCUACGCUUAACGUAGGAACGGCCAUUGAUACUGUUAGGCUUGAAUUAUUAGGAAGUAACUAGAAUAUGUAGUGUAGCGGUGAAAUGCUUAGAGAUUACAUGGAAUACCAAUUGCGAAGGCAGGUUACUACUAAUGGAUUGACGCUGAUGGACGAAAGCGUGGGUAGCGAACAGGAUUAGAUACCCUGGUAGUCCACGCCGUAAACGAUGGAUACUAGCUGUUGGGAGCAAUCUCAGUGGCUAAGCGAAAGUGAUAAGUAUCCCACCUGGGGAGUACGUUCGCAAGAAUGAAACUCAAAGGAAUUGACGGGGGCCCGCACAAGCGGUGGAGCAUGUGGUUUAAUUCGAUGAUACGCGAGGAACCUUACCAAGGCUUAAAUGUAGAUUGACCGUUUUGGAAACAGAACUUUCGCAAGACAAUUUACAAGGUGCUGCAUGGUUGUCGUCAGCUCGUGCCGUGAGGUGUCAGGUUAAGUCCUAUAACGAGCGCAACCCCUGUUGUUAGUUGCCAGCGAGUCAAGUCGGGAACUCUAACAAGACUGCCAGUGCAAACUGUGAGGAAGGUGGGGAUGACGUCAAAUCAUCACGGCCCUUACGCCUUGGGCUACACACGUGCUACAAUGGACGGUACAGAGAGCAGCCACUACGUGAGUAGGAGCGAAUCUACAA
Molecule: ribosomal RNA, 703 nt
Filed under: uncultured bacterium
Lineage: Bacteria
Description: bacterial SSU rRNA
Rfam family: Bacterial small subunit ribosomal RNA
Source: RNAcentral